This 254-nucleotide ribosomal RNA is filed under the name uncultured bacterium. RNAcentral's name for it is "partial 16S ribosomal RNA". It matches the Rfam family "Bacterial small subunit ribosomal RNA", at positions 524 to 776 of the family's 1533-position model. The record is from RNAcentral.
UACGGAGGGUGCGAGCGUUGUCCGGAUUUAUUGGGUUUAAAGGGUGCGUAGGUGGCUUUUAAGUCAGUGGUGAAAUACAGCCGCUCAACGGUUGAGGUGCCAUUGAUACUGAAGAGCUUGAAACAAGUGGAGGCUGCCGGGAAUGGAUGGUGUAGCGGUGAAAUGCAUAGAUAUCAUCCAGAACACCGAUUGCGAAGGCAGGUGGCUACGUUUUGAUUUGACACUGAGGCACGAAAGCAUGGGGAGCAAACAGG